AACGAACGCUGGCGGCAUGCCUAACACAUGCAAGUCGAACGAGCCCUUCGGGUCUAGUGGCGCACGGGUGCGUAACGCGUGGGAACCUGCCCUUAGGUUCGGCCUAACUCCCCGAAAGGGGUGCUAAUACCGAAUAAUGUCUUCUGCCCAAGGAUUUAUCGCCUUUGGAUGUUCCCGCGUGGGAUUAGCUGGUUGGUAGGGUAAAAGCAUACCAAGGCGACGAUUCAUAGCUGGUCUGAGAGGAUGGUCAGCCACACUGGGACUGAGACACGGCCGAGACUCCUACGGGAGGCGGCAGAGGGUAAUAGUGGACAACGGGCGAAAGGAUGAUCCAGCACUGCCGCGUGAGCGAUGAAGGCCGGAGGGUUGUAAAGCGCUUGUAACCGGGAUGAUAAUGACAGUACCGGGAGAAUAAGCCCCGGCUAACUCCGUG
This 433-nucleotide ribosomal RNA is filed under the name uncultured bacterium. Its description in RNAcentral is "partial 16S ribosomal RNA". It matches the Rfam family "Bacterial small subunit ribosomal RNA", at positions 29 to 507 of the family's 1533-position model. The record is from RNAcentral.